UCUGGNUCAGCUGGGGGCGUGCGGUGGGUACGGGCUGGCUUGAGUGCGGUAGGGGAGGCUGGAACUCCUGGUGUAGCGGUGGAAUGCGCAGAUAUCAGGAGGAACACCGGUGGCGAAGGCGGGUCUCUGGGCCGUUACUGACGCUGAGGAGCGAAAGCGUGGGGAGCGAACAGGAUUAGAUACCCUGGUAGUCCACGCUGUAAACGUUGGGCACUAGGUGUGGGGGGUCUUUCCGGGUCCUCCGCGCCGUAGCUAACGCAUUAAGUGCCCCGCCUGGGGAGUACGGCCGCAAGGCUAAAACUCAAAGGAAUUGACGGGGGCCCGCACAAGCGGCGGAGCAUGCGGAUUAAUUCGAUGCAACGCGAAGAACCUUACCAAGGCUUGACAUGUGCCGGUUGUCCUUCGGAGACGGGGGGUCCUCCCUAUUUGUGGGGGUCGGUUCACAGGUGGUGCAUGGUUGUCGUCAGCUCGUGUCGUGAGAUGUUGGGUUAAGUCCCGCAACGAGCGCAGCCCUUGUCCCGUGUUGCCAGCACGUCGUGGUGGGGACUCGCGGGAGACUGCCGGGGUUAACUCGGAGGAGGGUGGGGAUGACGUCAAAUCAUCAUGCCCCUUAUGUCUUGGGCUUCACGCAUGCUACAAUGGCCGGUACAGUGGGUUGCGAUGUCGUGAGGCGGAGCGAAUCCCUUAAAGCCGGUCUCAGUUCGGAUCGGUGUCUGCAACUCGACACCGUGAAGCUGGAGUCGCUAGUAAUCGCAGAUCAGCAGCGCUGCGGUGAAUACGUUCUCGGGCCUUGUACACACCGCCCGUCACGUCAUGAAAGCUGGCAACACCCGAAGCCCGUGGCCCUA
This 848-nucleotide ribosomal RNA is filed under the name uncultured bacterium. RNAcentral's name for it is "bacterial SSU rRNA". It matches the Rfam family "Bacterial small subunit ribosomal RNA", at positions 603 to 1438 of the family's 1533-position model. The record is from RNAcentral.